RNAcentral lists this ribosomal RNA (390 nucleotides) under uncultured bacterium. RNAcentral's name for it is "bacterial SSU rRNA". It matches the Rfam family "Bacterial small subunit ribosomal RNA", at positions 29 to 402 of the family's 1533-position model. The record is from RNAcentral.
AACGAACGCUGGCGGCGUGCCUAACACAUGCAAGUCGUGCGAGAAAGUUCCUUCGGGAGCGAGUAAAGCGGCGCACGGGUGAGUAACACGUAGGUAACCUGCCCCCCAGUCUGGAACAACUAGAGGAAACUCUAGCUAAUGCCGGAUGAGACCACGAUCCCUUCGGGGGUUGCGGCCAAAGAUGGCCUCUACUUGUAAGCUAUCGCUGAGGGAUGGGCCUGCGGGCCAUUAGCUUGUUGGUGAGGUAACGGCUCACCAAGGCUGUGAUGGCUAGCUGGUCUGAGAGGAUGACCAGCCACACUGGGACUGAGACACGGCCCAGACUCCUACGGGAGCAGCAGUGGGAAUAUUGCGCAAUGGGCGUAAGCCUGACGCAGCGACGCCCGGCGU